Molecule: ribosomal RNA, 718 nt
Filed under: bacterium 150907-44_H20_ML3_785
Lineage: Bacteria
Description: partial 16S ribosomal RNA
Source: RNAcentral
GCGCUACAGCAUUCGGCUAGUUCACGAGAGUGAUGUUAUGAACACAAGAAGAGUUCUCUCUGUAAUAAAUAAAUUUAUUCCUCCCAACACCGCGGGAAGUAAAAUUAAAACUGUCUGUUCCUACCAACCACCCCACACAAAAGAGUUCUCUCCUUCCCGCGUACUUUUAAAUUAUUUAGAUAAUUAUAUUUCCUCCCAUCCUCUCAGACUCCUCCCCUUGCGAAAAUAAUAAUAUCACCACCAGGGCCGCCGCUCCUCCUUUAUUAAGAGGGGAUAGGUUCCUCCGCUCCUCCCCGCGGUGCUCCCGACAUCACUUCUUAUCAUAAAAUAUAGGGGAGGGGAUCGAAAUCUUAUUCUUUAUUCUAGGAAGAGCCAUCUCUGGAGGGAACAGUAUCUAGUAAAUGAGCAACUUACCUACCCCACCCACUAAUGAAGGCAGGCCUAAUAAAAGAUCCAUAAUAACGCAUGACGUGGUGUGUGACCUUUAUAUUAUUGACUCUUCUCCUUUAAAGUCCCGGGUCUGAUGAGUUCAGGUCGUAUCGUUUAAAUUAUCUAUGAUCUUAUCAGGAAUUCUCAGACUCGAGCAGAAUAAAUAAAAUUGCUAUUUUCAUUUAUUAUUAUCAGCCUCUUGUAGGUAAGUGGCCUGCCAGGCUCCGCGCGGGAGCGACCGUAGUUGGAGUUAGUUCUACGGCGCGUCGAAGCAGUAACAAGCCGCCCG